Molecule: long non-coding RNA, 512 nt
Filed under: Apteryx owenii (little spotted kiwi)
Lineage: Eukaryota; Metazoa; Chordata; Aves; Apterygiformes; Apterygidae
Description: lncRNA (ENSAOWG00000007065.1)
Source: RNAcentral
GUUUUUUGGAAGAAUACAUCAUGGAAGGGUCUUAAUAUGUGGCAGGGCUCUUAAAUUUAUUUUAAUGUAUUCAAAUUAAGUAUUUUUAAACUGUUGAGUCCAAAGUGAAAAAUUUGGGAAACUUGACAGCUAUCAAUGCUAGGUGGCAUAUUGACCUUAACUAGGAAAUGCUGUUUCUUUGAAAAAGGAAAUAGAAAUGCCCUAUGGCUGUUUCUAGCCUAAAAAACUUUGUGGGGUUCAUUCAAGGCUCUAGAUAUAAUAAAAGGCUGAGAAAACUGAAUAGUGGUAGACAGCAGAGUUCCUGUAAAUUGGACACAAAUAACCAGAGGAGCUGGCCUGUCUCUGUUACCAAAACAGCUCGGGUCCUUUGGGAAGAAAAAGCAAUUUGUUUGGCAGUCCUGCUGAGGUAUGACUCUGGAAGGCCUCCAUAUGAGAAUGAAGGUCCUGGAGGCCAAUCAGCAAGCAUGCCCACAAGGUCCAGAGGUGAACCACCUCCAUCUUUCUUUGGCUGA